GACGAACGCUGGCGGCGUGCCUAACACAUGCAAGUCGUGCGGUCUCGCCUUAAGCGAAAGGCCUUCGGGCUUUGAAGCAAAGGCGAGAUAGCGGCGGACGGGUGAGUAACGCGUGGCUUAUCUGUCCCAGGAAGGGGGAUAACGUCUGGAAACGGGCGCUAAUACCCCAUAUGCCGAAAGGUAAAAAGGAGAGAUCCGCCCUGGGGUGAGGCCGCGUCCUAUCAGCUCGUUGGUGAGGUAACGGCCCACCAAGGCUAUGACGGGUAGCCGGCCUGAGAGGGCGGCUGGCCACACUGGGAUUGAGAUACGGCCCAGACUCCUACGGGAGGCAGCAGUGGGGAAUAUUGGGCAAUGGGGGAAACCCUGACCCAGCGACGCCGCGUGGAGGAAGGAGCCCUUCGGGGUGUAAACUCCUGUUGUAAGGGAAGAAGACAGUGACGGUACCUUACGAGGAAGCCCCGGCAAACUACGUG
This 473-nucleotide ribosomal RNA is filed under the name uncultured bacterium. Its description in RNAcentral is "bacterial SSU rRNA". It matches the Rfam family "Bacterial small subunit ribosomal RNA", at positions 28 to 507 of the family's 1533-position model. The record is from RNAcentral.